Molecule: ribosomal RNA, 497 nt
Filed under: uncultured bacterium
Lineage: Bacteria
Description: partial 16S ribosomal RNA
Rfam family: Bacterial small subunit ribosomal RNA
Source: RNAcentral
GAUGAACGCUGGCGGCGUGCCUAAUACAUGCAAGUCGAGCGAACAGAUGAGGAGCUUGCUCCUCUGACGUUAGCGGCGGACGGGUGAGUAACACGUGGAUAACCUACCUAUAAGACUGGGAUAACUUCGGGAAACCGGAGCUAAUACCGGAUAAUAUAUUGAACCGCAUGGUUCAAUAGUGAAAGACGGUUUUGCUGUCACUUAUAGAUGGAUCCGCGCCGCAUUAGCUAGUUGGUAAGGUAACGGCUUACCAAGGCGACGAUGCGUAGCCGACCUGAGAGCGUGAUCCGCCACACUGGAACUGAGACACGGUCCAGACUCCUACGGGAGGCAGCAGUAGGGAAUCUUCCGCAAUGGGCGAAAGCCUGACGGAGCAACGCCGCGUGAGUGAUGAAGGUCUUCGGAUCGUAAAACUCUGUUAUUAGGGAAGAACAAAUGUGUAAGUAACUAUGCACGUCUUGACGGUACCUAAUCAGAAAGCCACGGCUAACUACGUG